Molecule: ribosomal RNA, 453 nt
Filed under: uncultured bacterium
Lineage: Bacteria
Description: bacterial SSU rRNA
Rfam family: Bacterial small subunit ribosomal RNA
Source: RNAcentral
UACGGGAGGCAGCAGUGGGGAAUAUUGCACAAUGGGCGAAAGCCUGAUGCAGCCAUGCCGCGUGUAUGAAGAAGGCCUUCGGGUUGUAAAGUACUUUCAGUCGUGAGGAAGGUGUUAAGGUUAAUAACCUUAGCAAUUGACGUUAGCGACAGAAGAAGCACCGGCUAACUCCGUGCCAGCAGCCGCGGUAAUACGGAGGGUGCGAGCGUUAAUCGGAAUUACUGGGCGUAAAGGGCACGCAGGCGGUUAAUUAAGUUGGAUGUGAAAUCCCCGGGCUUAACCUGGGAAUGGCAUUCAAGACUGGUUAGCUAGAGUCUUGUAGAGGGGGUAGAAUUCCAUGUGUAGCGGUGAAAUGCGUAGAGAUGUGGAGGAAUACCGGUGGCGAAGGCGGCCCCUGGACAAAGACUGACGCUCAUGUGCGAAAGCGUGGGGAGCAAACAGGGAUUAGAUACC